AGAAUCAACGCUGGCGGCGUGCCUAACACAUGCAAGUCGAACGAGAAAGGGGCUUCGGCCCUGAGUAUAGUGGCGUACGGGUGAGUAACACGUGAAUCAUCUACCUUCGAGUGGGGAAUAGCUGAGGGAAACCUUAAUUAAUACCGCAUAAUACCCAAGGGUCAAAGCAAGUAAUCGCGCUUGAAGAGGAGUUCGCGGCAGAUUAGUUAGUUGGCGGGGUAAUGGCCCACCAAGACGAUGAUCUGUAUCCGGCCUGAGAGGGCGCACGGACACACUGGAACUGAAACACGGUCCAGACUCCUACGGGAGGCAGCAGUGGGGAAUUUUGCGCAAUGGGGGAAACCCUGACGCAGCAACGCCGCGUGGAGGAUGAAGUAUCUCGGUACGUAAACUCCUUUCGAUGGGGAAGAUAAUGACGGUACCCAUAGAAGAAGCCCGGCUAACUUCGUGCCAGCAGCCGC
This 461-nucleotide ribosomal RNA is filed under the name uncultured bacterium. Its description in RNAcentral is "SSU rRNA". It matches the Rfam family "Bacterial small subunit ribosomal RNA", at positions 26 to 518 of the family's 1533-position model. The record is from RNAcentral.